UCUGCGCGCGCAGAAUCAGCGUCAGAUCUGGCGAGAGAGGGAAACCGAACCGGAUCGGGAAGCGAGGGGCGUCCUUACCCUUGCGGUCGGGCUUGUGGCAGCGCUUGACGAGGCGGACGCUGUCCUUGGCGAACUCGCGGAGGGGGUCGACGACGGAGUCGACGGCGUCCAUGGCGGGCGAGGCGCGGCGAGAUCUCGGAGCCGACGACGACGAGGUCGCGCGCGUGAGGGGGAGGAAGCCGACGGGAGGAUGCUGUUUGG
This 261-nucleotide long non-coding RNA is filed under the name Hordeum vulgare. Its description in RNAcentral is "long non-coding RNA (HVUL_LNC020516)". The record is from RNAcentral. Lineage: Eukaryota; Viridiplantae; Streptophyta; Magnoliopsida; Poales; Poaceae.